This 1372-nucleotide ribosomal RNA is filed under the name uncultured bacterium. RNAcentral's name for it is "bacterial SSU rRNA". It matches the Rfam family "Bacterial small subunit ribosomal RNA", at positions 28 to 1381 of the family's 1533-position model. The record is from RNAcentral.
GAUGAACGCUGGCGGCGUGCCUAAUACAUGCAAGUCGAGCGAACGGACGAGAAGCUUGCUUUUCUGAUGUUAGCGGCGGACGGGUGAGUAACACGUGGAUAACCUACCUAUAAGACUGGGAUAACUUCGGGAAACCGGAGCUAAUACCGGAUAAUAUUUUGAACCGCAUGGUUCAAAAGUGAAAGACGGUCUUGCUGUCACUUAUAGAUGGAUCCGCGCUGCAUUAGCUAGUUGGUAAGGUAACGGCUUACCAAGGCAACGAUGCAUAGCCGACCUGAGAGGGUGAUCGGCCGCACUGGAACUGAGACACGGUCCAGACUCCUACGGGAGGCAGCAGUAGGGAAUCUUCCGCAAUGGGCGAAAGCCUGACGGAGCAACGCCGCGUGAGUGAUGAAGGUCUUCGGAUCGUAAAACUCUGUUAUUAGGGAAGAACAUAUGUGUAAGUAACUGUGCACAUCUUGACGGUACCUAAUCAGAAAGCCACGGCUAACUACGUGCCAGCAGCCGCGGUAAUACGUAGGUGGCAAGCGUUAUCCGGAAUUAUUGGGCGUAAAGCGCGCGUAGGCGGUUUUUUAAGUCUGAUGUGAAAGCCCACGGCUCAACCGUGGAGGGUCAUUGGAAACUGGAAAACUUGAGUGCAGAAGAGGAAAGUGGAAUUCCAUGUGUAGCGGUGAAAUGCGCAGAGAUGUGGAGGAACACCAGUGGCGAAGGCGACUUUCUGGUCUGUAACUGACGCUGAUGUGCGAAAGCGUGGGGAUCAAACAGGAUUAGAUACCCUGGUAGUCCACGCCGUAAACGAUGAGUGCUAAGUGUUAGGGGGUUUCCGCCCCUUAGUGCUGCAGCUAACGCAUUAAGCACUCCGCCUGGGGAGUACGACCGCAAGGUUGAAACUCAAAGGAAUUGACGGGGGCCCGCACAAGCGGUGGAGCAUGUGGGUUAAUUCGAAGCAACGCGAAGAACCUUACCAAAUCCUGACAUCCUUUGACAACUCUAGAGAUAGAGCCUUCCCCUUCGGGGGACAAAGUGACAGGUGGUGCAUGGUUGUCGUCAGCUCGUGUCGUGAGAUGUUGGGUUAAGUCCCGCAACGAGCGCAACCCUUAAGCUUAGUUGCCAUCAUUAAGUUGGGCACUCUAAGUUGACUGCCGGUGACAAACCGGAGGAAGGUGGGGAUGACGUCAAAUCAUCAUGCCCCUUAUGAUUUGGGCUACACACGUGCUACAAUGGACAAUACAAAGGGCAGCGAAACCGCGAGGUCAAGCAAAUCCCAUAAAGUUGUUCUCAGUUCGGAUUGUAGUCUGCAACUCGACUACAUGAAGCUGGAAUCGCUAGUAAUCGUAGAUCAGCAUGCUACGGUGAAUACGUUCCCGGGUCU